GACGAACGCUGGCGGCGUGCUUAACACAUGCAAGUCGAACGGAAAGGCCCUGCUUUUGUGGGGUGCUCGAGUGGCGAACGGGUGAGUAACACGUGAGUAACCUGCCCUUGACUUUGGGAUAACUUCAGGAAACUGGGGCUAAUACCGGAUAGGAGCUCCUGCUGCAUGGUGGGGGUUGGAAAGUUUCGGCGGUUGGGGAUGGACUCGCGGCUUAUCAGCUUGUUGGUGGGGUAGUGGCUUACCAAGGCUUUGACGGGUAGCCGGCCUGAGAGGGUGACCGGCCACAUUGGGACUGAGAUACGGCCCAGACUCCUACGGGAGGCAGCAGUGGGGAAUAUUGCACAAUGGGCGGAAGCCUGAUGCAGCAACGCCGCAUGCGGGAUGACGGCCUUCGGGUUGUAAACCGCUUUCGCCUGUGACGAAGCGUGAGUGACGGUAAUGGAUAAAGAAGCACCGGCUAACUACGUG
RNAcentral lists this ribosomal RNA (468 nucleotides) under uncultured bacterium. RNAcentral's name for it is "partial 16S ribosomal RNA". It matches the Rfam family "Bacterial small subunit ribosomal RNA", at positions 28 to 507 of the family's 1533-position model. The record is from RNAcentral.